GGUCCUGGUCUUUGGCUUCUCUACUCCGUCCUGUUUUAACAGCGAACAUGUCGCGGCCUGUCAGCCUUGAGAUUCUGGGAUAAAACCGACAUUCCGGGGAGGAGACAACAUGGCUGAUUGAAGCCAGCUUUCCACAGAGGCUCCUGUCCAGAAGGAGACUUAAAGGACAAAAAUUCAGCAAGUAACCUGGUGGAUUUGAGCUGCACUAAGAGAGAAGGUUGUAGAACGCACGUCAACCCCGCUGAGGUGAGCUGCGACCACAAGGAUACAAACAAAAGACAAUUGUGUAUACCCGGAGUCUGCUAAAGACUACGCCAGAUGCUUGAGACACGGCUCGGGACUUGACAGAUGUGAUCAUGCUCCUUGUGGAAUUAUCAAGGCAAAGAACAAGAUUUAAACACGUAAUUGCAAGUAUUAAAAAGGAAGUGCAGAACAUCGUAAGAGCAUUUAGAGAUAGAAGUUAAACAAACCUGCUGGGUCAGGGAAGGUCUCUCUUAGGCAAAGAUGUUUCAGUUAAACCUAGAAGGAAAAAGAGAAUUUAGCAUAAAGUACAAGGAAAGGGAAUAUUGGCAGAAAGAAAAGCAGUUGACCUUUAGGUGGCCGAGAAGAGAUCUUGUUGCCAGUCGAUUCCUCAAAACAAGGAUAGAUGUACGGUUAUUUCCGGGGCACUGAGUAAUGAAGGAAUUAAUGGGGUAAGAGUAGAAGUAGAUUGCCAAUCACAUGGGAACUUACAAGUCAGGAAAAGUUUUCAGAAUUAAUCCUAAGCCUAAUGGUAAUAAAAGAAAUAAUAGGAAAAAUCACUUCAGUGUCCAUUUUACUACCGUGUCCAGAAUGACCAGGUAAGUGUGAGUGGAAGGCACCAAUUCAA
This is a long non-coding RNA of Nycticebus coucang (slow loris), 868 nucleotides long. RefSeq lists it as uncharacterized. The record is from RefSeq and is a predicted model, not a curated record. The transcript has 3 exons. Lineage: Eukaryota; Metazoa; Chordata; Mammalia; Primates; Lorisidae.